AAGGGAGACCUAAUUCGGGUAUAAGACGAAAAAAGAGUAGUCGAAACCAAGAAUCAAUCCCAAAAGGUCGGAACGAGGUAUGUGGCUUUCAAACUAGGUUCUGGGUUCACACAAGACCUGAAUCAGGAACAAGGGCUAUUAGCUCAGGUGGUUAGAGCGCACCCCUGAUAAGGGUGAGGUCCCUGGUUCGAGUCCAGGAUGGCCCACCUGCACAGGUGGCAAAAACAAAGAAGCGAGGAAUCAGCACCUUAUCUUAUCUAUAUAUAAGAGAGAAUGCUGGCUCUGAGUAAAGAGUCCAGAGGAACCUUGAAAACUGCAUAGAGCUAGGUGAAAAAGCCAAAAAAAAAGACCGCAA
RNAcentral lists this transfer RNA (355 nucleotides) under uncultured Microcystis sp. Its description in RNAcentral is "partial 16S-23S ribosomal RNA intergenic spacer". The stretch from base 133 to 206 matches the Rfam family "tRNA". Lineage: Bacteria; Bacillati; Cyanobacteriota; Cyanophyceae; Chroococcales; Microcystaceae. The record is from RNAcentral.